CAAGCCUUCUCUCCACUAGCCCGAUGGUCUUCAAUGUGCUCUGACCCCCACAGUCCCCAGUAAGUUGUAGAGCACUUGAGAGUCCUGCUGAAAAUAAAUACAACCUGCCCUGUGUGUCUCCACCACAAGAGGAGCAGGCGGCAGGGGUAAGAACUGGCUUCUCUGGGGGACCUUCUCCAAAGGACACCAUUUAUUUACUCAGCAAAUAUUUACUGAGCAAAAUGGGAGGAGGCAGUGCAUUCCAGGGAGAGAGAACAGUUUGAAAGAAGCUAAAGAAGAACGAAAAAUGGGCAUGUAUGGAGUCCAGUGAGUAGUGAAAUUCAGGAGAUAAAAUCUGGAAGAGAGGAGAAAAUCAAUCAAGAAGAGCUUGAAUGCUUGGCAAAGGAAUUUGGGCAUAUUUCAACAGGCAAGGAGGAGCCAAAGAAAGAUUUUGAGCAAGAGAUGGACACAAUCAAAAUAGCUCAUUAGGAAAAAUAAUUUGACAGUAGUGUCUAAAAUGGACUGUGAUAAAGAAUAAUCAUAUCAUGCAGCCAGCAAUGAUUGAGUACUUACUAUGCACCCAACACCAUGCCAAGCCCUUUAUGCACAUUGUUUCAUUCAAUAAAAGCAAUACAUAAUGCAUUCAAGACUCAGUGCCUAGCACAUGGUGUUUUCCAAUCCUUGCAAUCAUCCUAUGAGUUCAAUAUUAUUAUUAUCUCACUUUUACAGAUAUUGCUUGAGGAGCGAAGAGGUUAAAUAUGUAUACACAAGGUCAAAAAGUAAUAAGUAGCUGAGCCAGGAUUUAAACUCAGGUUGGUCUGACUCCAAAACUGACUCUCAAGGAAGGGAGAUGUUAGGAAGCAAUUGCAAAAGUCCUGACAAGGGGGCCGACCCCGUGGCCAAGUGGUUAAGUUCUCGUGCUCCGCUUUGAUGGCCUGGGGUUUCGCUGGUUCAGAUCCUGGGCACGGACAUGGCACUGCUCAUCAGGCCACGUUGAGGCAGUGUCCCACGUGCUACAACUAGAAGGACCUGCAACUAAGAUAUACAACAAUGUACUGGGGGGAUUUGGGGAGAUAAAGCAGAAAAAACAAAAGAUUGGCAACUGGUGCCAGGUGUUAGCUCAGGUGCCAAUCUUUACCAAAAAAAAAGUGCUGACGAGUGAUGAUGAACUGGAGGAGAGGCAGGAGAGAAGGAAAAGAGAAAAUGGAUGUACAACUAAAUUUGGAUACCCAGCAGACAUGACAUAACAAUUGAUUGAUAGACUAGUAGAGAGAGAGAAUGGUCAAAGAUGGCCCAAGUUCUGGAGCAUGGUUGGCCAACAGAAAGAUGGCACAAUAAUGAAAAUCAAGAACAUAAGAGCUGCACUAUCAACCGGAUCUCUUUGUUUUCUUCUUCUGUUUUGAAUCCACACCUAAAAUGGGACAAAAUCUACCAGCCAGAAUAACCUGAUUGAGAAAUCAGCCAUAACUGGUUUUCUUGGCUGUAGACUCUUCAGGAAAGAAUGUGAAGUAUUUUUCCCACAUCCUCCCAGGAGGGCCACCAGGGGCUCCAGUCCUGGAGGUCGAGGAGCAUUGGAGCUGGUUCUGCAGUUGGGGAGUGGGAGUAGCCUUACCUGUCGGACAGUGACUUCCAGUAUCUGAGAAGAGGGUGGGAGAUCAUGAGCGUCCACAAGUGGCAGAAGUUGAGAUCCAAAUGGAACACACACACCCUCCCACCUCCCAGGAUGGCAAAACCUGGUACAGAGAUGGCUGUAAGGAGGAGGCUGGAAGAAAGACCACUAAGUGGCCAGUUAUUGGGCAAAGCCACUGUGAGUGGGCAGCUCACCAGCCUGCCUGGAGAAGCAGUGCCCACAGACAGGAAGCACCAGCAUUCAGCAAGGAGCACAAGGAGCAACUGUAACUGUGGCCAUCUCUACUGAAUAAGGACCAGCUGCCCCAGUUCUACAAGAUCGAGUCCUUUGCUUGUUUGGGAGAUUUUUUGUGCCUUUUGUUUUUGUAAAAUCCAACGUUCCGAGGGAAGAAGCCCUAAUAAUGACAUUAAAUUUCUCACUAACUGUGGAUGGGACUUGGGACCAGAUUUAAAUAAACUUGGACAAAUAAAGAACAUUGG
This 2088-nucleotide long non-coding RNA is filed under the name Equus caballus (horse). RNAcentral describes it as "lncRNA (ENSECAG00000048518.1)". Lineage: Eukaryota; Metazoa; Chordata; Mammalia; Perissodactyla; Equidae. The record is from RNAcentral.